GCAUGGGCUAAGGAGGGUGUGGGAGUGGACCUGCUGGAUUCGGUGGAUGUAGGAGUCGGGGCAGCAACGAGCGGCAAAUUUCUCUGCUGCUGCUAAUGUGGUGGCGGCGGCGCAGCAGCAGGCUACCUGGGGAUGGGCGUGGGCUAGUGUGGCUGCCCUUCAAUCUGAACCUGCCAGACUCCACGGUCGCCGACGACAUGGACUGGCGGUGCAUCACACCACACCUCCCUUAUGCCCUUAUCUCUACCCUUCCUCUCUCAGUCUCGGUCUCAGCCUCACAUAUUCUUCUUCUUUUUUGUUAAUUUGUUUCGUCCUGAUCUUAUGUUUCUUGGCUAAUCAGGCACAUAGGCCCAGGUAAGUGCAAUCUGGGUAGCGAAUUGUCAACUCAGAGGGUGCUUGAUAUGUUUUAGUCCCAUGACUAAAAGUAGUGGGACUAAAACUUGCUAGUCGCACCCAUGCUUAGAUCCAAAUACUAAAGAGACUAAAAUCAAGUUAUUGAGCAUUUAUUAUCCUUCAAACCCUCUAAUUCAGAACUUGCAUGUGUUAAAGGAGAGGAAUUAAAUGAGGAGAGAGAGGGCUAAUACAUAUUUUAGUAAGUUUCCUAUGACUAAAAAGUUUUAGCCUCAAAACUAGUCCUAGUUUCUCUUUAGUCAGGGAUGCUUGGAACUUUAGCCUCCCUUGGAUCCAAGCACCCUCUCACUUGCCCUGAAACAAUUGGCUUCCUGGGUGGUUGGGGCUCGCGCACCAGCUGUUCGAUGCAAUUCCACUGCAGAAUCUUCACUGCCAUUUGGAGUCGUGCUGGUGGGUUUGGACUUCUAUCUCAGAGGCAAAUCAUGAUUUCCCUUGUUAUUUGUAGCGCUUACUGUUAGGCACACGACAUUAACAGAGUUAGUUAUGGCAAAUUCAUUGUUCUGCCCGUUGGAACCUCUUGUUGCGUGAUAGUUCCUUUUCCCGGAUAUAUGCUAAUUGGGGAUAGUGUGCACUGUCUUGGCGCGCCGAAAUCGCUGACGGUGUGUAAAAUAUAAGUAUCAACUCACUUGAUUAAAGUAAAUUGUGUUAUUCCCAAACAUACAUUGUUGACUCAUUUGAUUAUUCUGGUUCAAAUGUUUGCAGUUAAAUUGACUAUGGUUUCUAUAACGUGUCACUUUUAAUACCACAUACUGUAUAAUUACAUGUUGUGCUUUAGUUGACAAGUUUUUAGUAGUGUAUCUAUUACACUUUGCAUCUACAAUCACAAAUCUGAAUGUGACAAGUACCGAGGAGUACAUCCAAAUAAUACCACUGCUAAUAGAGCCUCAUUUCAUCAUGCUAACUUCCUGAUAAUUCUGUUAGAAAUAUACAAUUGGGUUUAAUUUAGAGAUAAGGAGAUAGAGAUAGAAUUAGUUUAAACCACAUGUAACUUGUCUUGUGUAGGGUCAGAUCAAUACAACGAAUAUUGUAGGUUUUAUAUUUUCUACAUGGUAUUAGAGCGGUUUGUUCAACGACGCCGAUCUUAGGACCUUCCACCACUUCCGCAACUUGCCACUCGCCGAUCAAAGAUCAGAUUGGUCUCGUAGUUUAGAUCCAAUUUUCGAGUCCAUUAGAUCGAUCCCAUAGAUCAAGUCGAAAUUUAAGUAGAUUUUUUUAGCCACCAAAUAAAUCACGGCGGCCACGGUGGGCUGGACCAGGCACUACUGCGUGCGGCCGGCUUCAAGAUCAGAACUCCACCAGCGGACGCCACGCGCGUGCACGCCAGGAGUACCAGCCACGAGCGACGACCUCCUUCACUUCGAGCCCCGCAAGACUUCAGCGGGAUGAGCGCAUCAGCUCGACAUCUCCGCGAUGCAAUCUACACAAGACCCCUGUUAGCAGGCGGCCGCGCGUACGAGCACGUCGACACCCAGCGGGCGAUACGAGUGCGAUCCAAUCUACUUGAUAUACGCGCCGCCGGACAUCAGCCUCUACCGAACGGCUUCAUCGACCGCGCUUCAUCGUUGCUCUCCCACGCCUACAUCGACCUCCACAACCCACGCGCAGGCUGGAUCACUGACGGAAGCCACGCGGUACAAGGACGCCCAGAGGAUUUCAUCAUAUGCAUGCAUACAUGUGGCCUAGAUGGGCUAGAUGUGAUGCACGCGCAUGCAAAUUGAUGCCAGUCCGUACGGAGGUUUCUGCUGUACGCACGCGGGGAACCAUCAGAUGGACUCCAUCGCCCCGCGAAGCCGCGGACGCAUGCUCGAUGCGGGCAACCGCCACUACGGACUCCACUGCAGCUACCCUACGGCCUCGACUCCAAUUCAGGCUGCACCUACCGCCUCGCAGAUCAUGCACGCCUCAGAUCACGGAAGGGCAGUUUUCCGCGCAUCCUACUACGACGCCGCGACACCAUCGUCUACACCGAGCGCUGCAUCCCGAGCCGAGUUACAUCACCUCCUGCAUCAACCUACGCCACCGAUCUAUACCUACACCGAGCACGACUACAUCAUCAUGAUCUGCAUCAGAUAUUCUUCAUCGAGUCGAAUCCCUGCUUUGAGCUGUACGACUAUACGAGCUACGAGCCAACAUAGUUCUCCGGCAUGACACGGCAUCGACAUUUGGUGGACACGAGGGACGCCUUCAAGCGACACAUUAUCAUUGACACGCCGCUGCAACGCCAUCGUCGACACUUCAUCGCCAAUGUCUUCAUCAACAUCAUCGUCAACAUACCGCCGCCACCUCGUCCACAAGAUGGAUACAUAGCGUCCUCUGACAGAUUUUUCUGCAAGACGCGACCUUGACGACGGCAAUGACCGCGUCACGACGACGGCAUCGACCGCGGCAUCCACGACGGCAUGACUGCAUCGACACGGCGUCACUACAGUGGCGAUCCUACACGGCCGCACGGUUCUGGCAAAACCGAUGUGUGCUCGAUGGGCUUCCUCUGGUCUUGGCAAAACCGGUGGACUCAUCGCCGAUGGCAUCCUCUGACAUCCGCAAGGUGUAUCGUCCACGUUUGCAGCUCUGUCAUAGCGCAUUUUUUUUGCGCCUCCGGCUCUGUGCGGCUUCAUCAUCCACGACGACUAUAUCAUCGACCACUGCUACAUCACCAUGAUCGGCUACCUCGACAUCGACAUUAAUGGCUUGGUCUACAGCAACACAUCGACAACAACUCCAGUCAACAACGUCCGCCUCAUUACUUGCGUCCACGACACUCCCGUUGUGACUGCGGGAGGGAAUAGAGGAGAAGACAGGGAAGGCACCAGAAGGGGACGCAGUCACCGUCCUAGGUGUCGACCCAUCAACCCAUCAGAGACAAAGUUGAUGAUGGCGUAGCGGAGAAGACGACGAAAGCUCAAGACUUCAAAUUCAGUCGUACUCGUCCGCUUCACUCCCGCUACGACUGAGGGGGAAUGUUAGAAAUAUAUAAUUGGGUUUAGUUUAGAGAUAAGGAGAUAGAGAUAGAAUUAGUUUAAACCACAUGUAACUUGUCUUGUACUCCAAAUCUCUACCCCUCUUGUACUCCUAUAUAUACCCUACACAAGGGUCAGAUCAAUACAACGAAUAUUGUAGGUUUUAUAUUUUAUACAAAUUCAUUAUAGAGUUUUGAUCAAAUUCGGAUACAACUGUUAUCCAGAAUUUUUCGAAGAAUGAGUCAGGUCUAUUCUGAAGGUAAAAAAGACUUGAAAGUCCUAAAAUAUUAUAGAUGGGUAGCAUAUUGAAGUGGAUUCGCUCUUUGUUUCCUGUUUUUUAUGGUGGCUAUGCUCUGCGUGGAGCUCGGGGUCCUGGCCAGCAGCCCGCAGUUCGUUCUUCAAUUUGUGGUGCUCUUUCUAUGUCAGCGGUCUCGCAGGUUUUCUGGUCUAUCUCCUCACUGUCUUCAGGUCCUAGCUGGCAUCAUUCUUCGUUUGUCGCUCUAUG
Molecule: long non-coding RNA, 3873 nt
Filed under: Triticum aestivum (bread wheat)
Lineage: Eukaryota; Viridiplantae; Streptophyta; Magnoliopsida; Poales; Poaceae
Description: long non-coding RNA (TAES_LNC010834)
Source: RNAcentral